CCAAUCGAUGGAUUAUCACGAAGAUGGUAACUGAUCCGAUAAAAUUGAUGCACGGAUCGCUUUUCUUUGGAUAGAUGCAUCUCAAGUUUAUAGUAUGAGGACACUGAAGAGAGAGUGCAGGUGAUUGUUAGAGAAUAAUGGUAUCGAGCAUGACCAACACGAGUAGUCACAUGGAUGUCCAUCCACUCAUUAGUGACAUACUCGAUGCUAUAGUAGUGUGAGUAGUCUUUAAGCUUACGGUGCCUUGAUUGCUCAUAAUAGGGUUGUUGUAGUUUGACUACACAUAAAUAUGAUCCAUAACUAUAUGAGUCUUUAUAGUAGAUAUUGGCUAUAGUAGGUUCACUAUAGGAGUACGGUGCAUAUCUAGAUGAGAUCUAUCGAUUUUG
RNAcentral lists this long non-coding RNA (386 nucleotides) under Elaeis guineensis (African oil palm). RNAcentral describes it as "long non-coding RNA (EGUI_LNC058113)". The record is from RNAcentral. Lineage: Eukaryota; Viridiplantae; Streptophyta; Magnoliopsida; Arecales; Arecaceae.